RNAcentral lists this long non-coding RNA (3754 nucleotides) under Homo sapiens (human). Its description in RNAcentral is "HSALNT0102472". Lineage: Eukaryota; Metazoa; Chordata; Mammalia; Primates; Hominidae. The record is from RNAcentral.
CCGAGCCUUCAGAGGCACAAAAGCAAUAUUAGGUUUAAACAUGGAAAAAGAAGUUACAUGUCUGUCUCACCUGAGUUGAUGUAUUGAAGUCAUACCUUUUAGAUAUUUCACACUUUUUAAAAGAAAUUACUUCUGUUUUUCACAUUUGCCUUGUGUAAAACUAUUAUAGUCAUCAUGCUGUACUUGAAGUUAAAACCCUCAGGCUAUACGAUUAUAAAGUUAAUAAGUAUUAAAUGGAAACAGGUAAAACCAAUUCAUACUGUUUUAUUCACUAAAACAGUCUUGUGAUAACAAAAUAUAGGGUUGUGGAGUUUUUUUUUGGCGGGGGGGGGGGAGUCAAACUGUUUUUUACAUUCAUAACAUUCCUUUGGUAUAAAUAUAUCUGAGGACCUAUUUUUUCUCGGUCUAUAGAGACCAUUCCUUGUCUUUCUUUACUAAGUUACAGCUUGUCAUGGCAUGCUUUUUUCUUGUUAAAAUAUUUAUUUUUGUUCUAAAGUUGUUGAGGAUAGUAGGAUAUUUAUGCUUUAAAAUACUAGGGUGUACUUGAAAUGAAAUAAAAUGCCUAGAUUCAAGCUCCAAGCUUCAACAAUUAGGUAAUUUUAUUAGUAUUAGGCAAAAAUGAACAACACUUACGUCUACCUUGGGUCAGCUCUAUGUUAAAACAAAAAUGCUACCAUAUUAGCUUGGAUAUAUAGCCCUCCCCAAAAGGAUGGCAAUUAGGACAAUGUGCUAAGUAUAUUAAAGCAACCCACCCGCCAUGAACAAACACAAAAGGUCCAGCAUAUGAACUGUAGUCCCCCGUCAAGGUGUUAUAGGGUUACACAAUUAGAAAAUGCCACUAUCCUUUUUCUACAUUCAACAAGGCCACAAAUAUAUAGAUGAUUCUAUUACUAUUGCUACAAAUGGCAAAUGUCAUCAAUAAACAAGCAAUAAAAAGCAAAGGACUGCCUAACUAGAUGGAGAAAUUAGAGCCAACACCCAUGCAAGAGUAAUGAAGGAAGAGGAAGCUGAUUCUUGGGUUUUGUCUUUAAUAUGUUUUAACUUUAUUUUUAUACUUUUAUCAGCUGAGGUUUUAAAAACCUAUUACUUGAGACUUUAAAAGCCCAAUAUGAAAGUAUUGUCAAGACAGUUGGAAAAAGAAGGUAAAAGCUGACCAGGAGUCAUUUUUCUCAUUUUUAAAAGAAAUAAUUAGAUGAUUGAAUCUUGGAGAUCUUUUUCUAGAUUUUUUUUUUUUUUUUUUUUGAGACAGAGUCUCGCUCUGUCACCCAGACUGGAAUGCAGUGGUGGCACAAUCUCAGCUCACUGCAACCUCCACCUCCUUGGUUCAAGCUAUUCUCCUGCCUCAGCCUCCUGAGUAGCUAGGAUUACAGGUGUGCACCACCACACCCAGCUAAUUUUUAUAUUUUUUUAGUAGAGAUGAGGUUUCACUACAUUGGCCAAGCUGGUCUUGAACUCCUGACCUCAGGUGAUCCGCCCGCUUUGGCCUCCCAAAAUGCUGGGAUCACAGGCGUGAGUCACCAGUCACAAAAUAUCUCAAAUUUUGUGAUUAUUACAUCCCUGGCCUACUGUUACCAUCCCAUAUCUUUCUUCCAUCACGCUCCGUGGUAAAGAAGAGUUUCUGACCCAAAUAUGGAUAAAAUACACUGUGGAAGACUCUUCCUUUUCUACCUAAGAAGCUGAGUGGAUGCUGAAAUAUACACAGUACAUAAGAGAUGCUCUUUUCAACCAUUGUGUGUGGCAUAAUGAGUAACUUCAAAGCCAGUUCUUCUUAAUUUAGGAAAAUAACUCUGGAGACUUCUAAGGUAGAACAGGAUUUUAACUAUCUGAAGAGGCAUGAGUUUAGCAGAAGACAGAAGGAAAUUCCAGGGCAUUAAAUUGUGCAUUCAGCACCAUAAGAAACAGAAUCAGAGGGCCCUGACAGAAUACACAGUGGCAUUCAAAAACAGGUCACAAGGAUCAACUAGUCUGCAACUAUCAUGUAAAGAUGAGAAAACAAAACAAAUCCAAGAAGUUUAUUGCUGACACUAGAAACACACAUUCCUCUAAGAGCAGCAAACUUUCUGUACAGGGUCAGUCAGUACAUAUCUCAGAUGUGGUGAGCCUAGUGAUCUCUGUCACAACUACUCAACUCUGCCAUUGUAACCCCAAAGCAACCAUAAACAACAUGUAAUGAAUGGGUGUUGCUGUGUUUCUAUAAGAUUAUUUGCAAAAUCAGUCUGAGGACCAGAUUCCGCCCACUGGCCAUAUUACACCAACCCUGAACUACAGAAUAUUAUUCUAUGUCUCUGUUCAGUGUUUCACUCAUCACAAAUUAGGGAAAGCAAACUAUUCUCCCAGUAUAAGCAAAGUGGCUUUUGGUGCUUCUCCAGAAUGGCUUGAGAUAGCCCUUUAAAAAAGUAGGUAUAUAUUUUCAGACAGUCAUCUUUGCCACUUACAUGCAGAGACUGCCUGGGAACAAAGAUAAUGUAAAUAAAACACGAACCAGUCCCAAGAUUUUCCCAUUUCUGCUGAGCCAUACCACAACCUUCUCAGUUAUGUGCUUCAUGUACUUUUAGUCAGGUCUCUGUCACUUAUAACCAAGAAUCCUAAACAAUCAGCUAAUCGAAUUUCCACUUACCUGAGAACUACCACUUAGAUUAUUUUACCAGUUAAAUUAUUUACCAUAAUUUCUAUGUUUUAUUUUGACUAUGUUUAAUGCCAAUCCUUCACAAAUUUGUUACAUACUUCUCCGUAGGCUCAAGCAGAGAUUAACAUUUUAAAGUCAUUUAAAGAAUAAUCAGCAUUAUAAAUAAGUAAUAGAAUGAUAUUUUACAUUUGUAUAGAACCUUGAAGUGUAAAAUAUUCCUUUUUUUUUUUUUUUGAGACAGAGUCUCACUCUGUUUCCCAGGCUGGAGUGCAGUAGUGUGAUCAUGGCUCACUGUAGCCUCGACCUCCCAGGCUCAGGUGAUCCUCCUGUCUCAGCUUCCUGAGUAGCUGGGACCACAGGCAUACAUCACCACGCCUAGCUAAUGUUUUUUUCUUUUGUAGUGACAAGGUCUGUGUUGCCCAGCCUGGUCUUGAAUUCCUGGGCUCAAGCAAUCCGCCCACCUUGGCCUCCCAAAAUGUUGAAAUUACAUGUAUGAGCCACUGCCCAAAAAUGUAAUCAGCCCUAAAAUAGUCUUUAAUUAUAAAAUUAUUUCUUACUACUACAGCAUUGUGAGACAGCCAGGGAGUUAGCCAGGAAGUUAUUACUGUUCCUAUUUUAUAAAGAGAGAUCACUUAAUUCUAGAACUCCCUCAAGGCCUCCCAUAGCUAAUAAAUAAGACUAGAACUUGAGUCUUAAGAAUCUUAGUCUACUGCUGUCUUACCUACACUUCCCUUUUCUGUGUGGACAACAAAGUAUUCUUCUGUGUCUUUUUUUUUUUUUUUGGUCAUUUCCUUUUUAUCUGUCAGGCAGCCAGCUCUGACUUACUCUCUGUUUCUGUCAUCUCUCCCCCACAUACCAACUUCUUCACCAUGAUGAUUAUACCAAUAAUACAGUUCCUUAUAUGAGGGGCUCUGGAAAAUUAGACAGUGAAGCAUGUUGCAGAUUACAUGUUAAACAGGUCUAAUUCACAAUGAAUGACAACUUGAGACAAUAUGAGACAGUUUUCAGACAACAGUUUUGUGGCAGGUAGGGGACUCCUUUCUCUGCAUACUCUUCUUGGCUGAGGUUGUGUUGCACUGGCUGAGGUUGCUGAAACAGUGGCCCAUGGAUGGAGAUGUAGAAUCUGCA